UCUCUGUCUUGCUUUGUUUUUCUCUCUCUCUAUUCCUCUCCCUCCGUCCCCCUCACUCUCUUUCUCUGUCUCCUUCUGUCCCUCCCUCACUGAUUCUCUCUCAUUCCCUGUCCUGUCUGCCCAUUUUUGUCUAUCUGAUUCUCUCUUUCUCUCUCUCCCCUGUCUCUCUUUCUGUCUGCCUGUCUCCCCUCUCUGUCUCUCUCACUGUCCCUCUGUCUGUCUGUCUCCCUCCUCUCCCUCUCUAUCUGUCUCUCCCUCCCUCUCUCCAUCCCCCCUUCCUCCCUCCCGCCUCCCUCUCUCAAUAUUUCCCUCCUGAAGAUUUGCUUUCUCAGUGCAGAUAAACUCCUGCAGUGCCUUUCAUUUUCACCUCUUCAUGAAGCACAUUAAAGCUUCUGAGUUAGGAGGGUGACUGAGGGCAGGAAGAGUGUACGGGGUAGGUGGGUAGAUAAGUAGAUAACAUGAAACUUCUAGGAACAAGCUAAUGGUGGAGAAAAAUGACGUCAGGAGGGAGCGUCUCAUGAGAGGAGGUGUAACAAAUUGACGGGACAUCCUGUGUGGAUCAGAAGCCAGAGCACCUAAAGGAAACCUUCGGGGUUUUAUUUCGAGUUACAGCACGGAACAGGCCCUUCCAGCUCAGCAGCCCUCCUUCUUAACCCUGGCCUAGUCACAGGACAAUUUACAAUGACCAAGUGACCUACUACUAACUGGUAUAUCUUUGGACUGUGGGAGGAAACCAGAGCACCCGGAGGAAACCCACAUGGACACUUGAAGAAUGUACAAACUUUCUUACAAAGGACGCUGGGAUUGAGCUGUGAACUCUGACCUCACCCCCCCCCGAGUUGUAAUGGUGUCGUGAUAACCACUACACUACCAUGGCACAGCAUUAUACUUGUGGAGAUACAGUACUGAGCACUGUACUACAGCAAGGAGACAGACCCUGCAGUGGUCCUGAUACUAGAGCUGGCUCUAAACCCCCCCAUCCAAUCACCAGCUCCGCAGGGGCCUUUUGUUUAAGUGGAAGCACCUUUGAAUCAGCUUGCCAUGUUCGGCUUAUCUUGGU
Long non-coding RNA from Mobula hypostoma (lesser devil ray), 1060 nucleotides. RefSeq lists it as uncharacterized. The transcript is spliced from 3 exons. Lineage: Eukaryota; Metazoa; Chordata; Chondrichthyes; Myliobatiformes; Myliobatidae. The record is from RefSeq and is a predicted model, not a curated record.